AGAGUUUGAUUAUGGCUCAGAACGAACGCUUGCUGCAUGCUUUAUACAUGCAAGUCGAACGGAGGCCCUAGCUUGCUAGGUGUCCUUAGUGGCGCACGGGUGAGUAACACGUGGGAACAUACCUCAUAGUACGGAAUAACUGCGGGAAACUGUAGCUAAUACCGUAUAUUCCAGUAAUGGGAAAGAUUUAUCGCUAUGAGAUUGGCCCGCGCAAGAUUAGUUUGUUGGUAAGGUAAUGGCUUACCAAGGCUACGAUCUUUAGCUGGUUUGAGAGGAUGAUCAGCCACACUGGGACUGAGACACGGCCCAGACUCCUACGGGAGGCAGCAGUAGGGAAUAUUGGACAAUGGGGGCAACCCUGAUCCAGCAAUGCAGCGUGAGUGACGAAGGCCUUAGGGUUGUAAAACUCUUUCAUCGGUGAGGAUAAUGACAGUAGCCGAAGAAGAAGGACCGGCUAAUUCCGUGCCAGCAGCCGCGGUAAUACGGAAGGUCCUAGCGUUGUUCGGAAUUACUGGGCGUAAAGCGCAUGUAGGCGGAACAGAAAGUUAGAAGUGAAAUCCCUGGGCUCAACCUAGGAAUUGCUUUUAAAACUUCUGUUCUGGAAUUCAGGAGAGGAAAAUGGAAUAUCCAGUGUAGAGGUGAAAUUCGUAGAUAUUGGAUGGAACACCAGUGGCGAAGGCGAUUUUCUGGACUGAUAUUGACGCUGAGAUGCGAAGGCAUGGGUAGCAAACGGGAUUAGAUACCCCGGUAGUCCAUGCAGUAAACGAUGGGUGCUAGUCGUCGGACUUAUGUUCGGUGUCGUAGCUAACGCGUUAAGCACCCCGCCUGGGGAGUACGGUCGCAAGAUUAAAACUCAAAUAAAUUGACGGGGACCCGCACAA
RNAcentral lists this ribosomal RNA (881 nucleotides) under marine metagenome. RNAcentral describes it as "bacterial SSU rRNA". It matches the Rfam family "Bacterial small subunit ribosomal RNA", at positions 8 to 928 of the family's 1533-position model. The record is from RNAcentral.